This 800-nucleotide ribosomal RNA is filed under the name Streptomyces exfoliatus. Its description in RNAcentral is "bacterial SSU rRNA". It matches the Rfam family "Bacterial small subunit ribosomal RNA", at positions 26 to 844 of the family's 1533-position model. Lineage: Bacteria; Bacillati; Actinomycetota; Actinomycetes; Kitasatosporales; Streptomycetaceae. The record is from RNAcentral.
GGGCGGGGGGGCGGCCCCUCUUUACGAUGCAAGUCGAACGAUGAAGCCCUUCGGGGUGGAUUAGUGGCGAACGGGUGAGUAACACGUGGGCAAUCUGCCCUUCACUCUGGGACAAGCCCUGGAAACGGGGUCUAAUACCGGAUAACACCGGCUUCCGCAUGGGAGCUGGUUAAAAGCUCCGGCGGUGAAGGAUGAGCCCGCGGCCUAUCAGCUUGUUGGUGGGGUAAUGGCCUACCAAGGCGACGACGGGUAGCCGGCCUGAGAGGGCGACCGGCCACACUGGGACUGAGACACGGCCCAGACUCCUACGGGAGGCAGCAGUGGGGAAUAUUGCACAAUGGGCGAAAGCCUGAUGCAGCGACGCCGCGUGAGGGAUGACGGCCUUCGGGUUGUAAACCUCUUUCAGCAGGGAAGAAGCGAAAGUGACGGUACCUGCAGAAGAAGCGCCGGCUAACUACGUGCCAGCAGCCGCGGUAAUACGUAGGGCGCAAGCGUUGUCCGGAAUUAUUGGGCGUAAAGAGCUCGUAGGCGGCUUGUCACGUCGGGUGUGAAAGCCCGGGGCUUAACCCCGGGUCUGCAUCCGAUACGGGCAGGCUAGAGUGUGGUAGGGGAGAUCGGAAUUCCUGGUGUAGCGGUGAAAUGCGCAGAUAUCAGGAGGAACACCGGUGGCGAAGGCGGAUCUCUGGGCCAUUACUGACGCUGAGGAGCGAAAGCGUGGGGAGCGAACAGGAUUAGAUACCCUGGUAGUCCACGCCGUAAACGUUGGGAACUAGGUGUUGGCGACAUUCCACGUCGUCGGU